AUCUUUUUAUGCCCCAUCUACGAUAGUAGAGGGGAAUUAUGUUUUCUGGUCUGUGCGUCCGUUCGUCCGUCUGUCCCGCUUCAGGUUAACGUUUUUGGUCAAGGUAGUUUUUGAUGAAGUUGAAGUCCAAUCAACUUGAAACUUAGUACACAUGUUCCUUAUGAUAUGAUCUUUCUAAUUUUAAAGCCAAAUUAAACUUUUGACCCCAAUUUCAUGGUCCACUGAACAUAGAAAAUGAAAGUGCAUGUUUCAGGUUAAAGUUUUUCGUCAAGGUAGUUUUUGAUGAAGUUGAAGUCCAAUCAUUUUGAAACUUAGUACACAUGUUCCCUAUGAUAUUAUCUUUCUAAUUUUAAUGCCUAAGUAUAUUUUUUUUAUCCAAUUUCACGGUCCAUUGAACAUGGAAAAUGAUAGUGGGAGUGGGGCA
This 424-nucleotide long non-coding RNA is filed under the name Mytilus galloprovincialis (Mediterranean mussel). Lineage: Eukaryota; Metazoa; Mollusca; Bivalvia; Mytilida; Mytilidae. The record is from RNAcentral.